Molecule: non-coding RNA, 655 nt
Organism: Arachis ipaensis
Lineage: Eukaryota; Viridiplantae; Streptophyta; Magnoliopsida; Fabales; Fabaceae
Source: RefSeq, a predicted model, not a curated record
UAUUCCGAUAUUACUUUCCUGUUGUCAGUUACCAAUUCAACUUAAAUGUACGUGCAACUAACCAUGAUUUAACUAUAGUGGAAACACACAUUGCAGUGUUGAUAACUUAGAAUUGUUAGUUGAAAAUUUAGUCAAAUAUUAAAUUAUUUAACGGUUUUUAAAUAUCAACUUUCACGUGAAGUUGAAUUUUCAUCUUUAACUAAUCAUUAACAUUUUAGUGUAAUCGAGUGAAACAUUAGCUAAUAUCGCUUCAAAUAUAAGGAAAAUUAAAAAUAAAAAGGUAUUUAUUAUUUAACAUUUCUCUAUUUUUUUUUAUGAUAAUAAUUAUGAGGUAAUGAGGUCCCGGUCAACAUUGUCCAAAAUAUAACUAUGUUGCUCGUGAUCAGCUUAGAAGAGGUAGUUAAGAGAAAACUAUAAAUUAAAUUAGUGGGUUCCUUUUGUACGUGAAGAGACAGAAAGACAGAGAGAGAUAUAAAAGGUGAACCAAGUAGUUUGUACUGGUAUAUAAUUUAAGAAAAGUUCCAAGUAUUCCAAAAAUAUCAUUAUUUCAAUCAUUUUAUAUAUGAAAUUUUUUUUAGCCAAGAGUGAAAUUGAACGAAAAAUGAAGACUUUUACUUUAUUUAAAAAGAACAUAUGUUUAUUGGCAGAGAUAUAU